RNAcentral lists this ribosomal RNA (301 nucleotides) under uncultured bacterium. RNAcentral describes it as "partial 16S ribosomal RNA". It matches the Rfam family "Bacterial small subunit ribosomal RNA", at positions 509 to 809 of the family's 1533-position model. The record is from RNAcentral.
CAGUCGCCACGGUAAUACGUAGGGUGCAAGCGUUAAUCGGAAUUACUGGGCGUGAAGCGUGCGCAGGCGGUUUGUUAAGACAGAUGUGAAAUCCCCGGGCUCAACCUGGGAACUGCAUUUGUGACUGGCAAGCUAGAGUGUGGCAGAGGGGGGUGGAAUUCCGCGUGUAGCAGUGAAAUGCGUAGAUAUGCGGAGGAACACCGAUGGCGAAGGCAGCCCCCUGGGCCAACACUGACGCUCAUGCACGAAAGCGUGGGGAGCAAACAGGAUUAGAUACCCCGGUAGUCCCUGUCUCUUAUAA